Molecule: non-coding RNA, 1860 nt
Organism: Microcebus murinus (gray mouse lemur)
Lineage: Eukaryota; Metazoa; Chordata; Mammalia; Primates; Cheirogaleidae
Source: RefSeq, a predicted model, not a curated record
GAAAAAAAAAAAAAGAAUCUCCUGAUUUUUAAAAAAAAUUGACCAUGCUCCUCCCGGCCAUGUUCCCUGAGACGCUAAUUAAAGUGUUCUUGUUAUCAGAGGAGUGAUGCUGACCCUUCAGGGAAGCAGGUUUGGAUAGUUUCUCUGACUCGUGUCCAGUGUGGGUUGUGCUGAACUUACUGUCCUUGACUGUAUGUGGCCCUAUCUGAAAGUGGCCCUAGCUCUGGCCGCCAGAGUCGGCCUCCUGCCUGCCUGGGAGAGUCUCUUGCUCCCAGUGCACCACCCACCACGCCUCAGCCCCGGGGGACGCAGGCUGGCCCAGGACAUGCUCCGAAGCCACGUCCAUCCCGGCGUCCACUCGUGCCCCCGGCCUCCUGGUCAGCUCCGUCCCCCACCACCUGAUUGCAGCUGCUUCUGCACAGGUGGCUGCGGACACCAGGCCCACGGCCCUGCACAGCCUCCAGAUGUUGGAGGUGGCAGUGCCCUUGUGGAGCGCCACCCUUGGGCACCCAGGUGAGCUCCGUGAGCUCUGGCCUCAGCUCAUCCUCGUCACUUGCUGGCCAGGCCCUCCCAGGUCUCUCCUACUAAAUAACCACCCAGCCGAAGACGUCGCAGCUGGAGCGUCUGCCGCCCGAGGUGGGAGCCGGGGUCCCGGACGCAGGUGGCUGGUGGACAGGCUAAAACUGGCUCGUGGGCCCUCGCCACCCACUCAAGCCAGCAGGGUCGGCCCGGGGUUACGGUGAGCGCAUAGUGGGUCAGCGGUGGAGCCAAGGAACCUUGAGGCCCUGCCUGGAAGUUGCGCACUGUCCCUGAUGUGCCACAUGCUGGGGUCACAACGGGUGACAAGGCCAGCUUGACUGGGGAUGCUGAGAGCCUCCGCUCCAGCAGCCACAGGCUGGGAGCCUGCGUGGGCUGGGGGAAGAGGAAGGUUCCGGUGGCUCCACCCUGAGACUUCCUGUCUUCUGAUCUCAUCCAAUCCACGACUUCAGUGCGUCCGGAACCAUCAGCGGAAGGACAUCUUCCCAGAGCUCCGUGCACCUGCCCGGCAUUCCCACCCGAUGGAGGUGGCCUGACUGCAGCGGCACAGGAACCCCACGGAAGGUUUUCCAUUGCCCCACCCCACCCCGCCCCCGUUCCUCUCCCAGUCUCCCCCAGCCCAGGAAUUGCUUCUGCCAUCCUCUGGUUACUCAGAGAGACCGUCUGCAAGUCCCGUGAGUGUGAGCUUUGAAACGCUGGGAUGCAUGUACAUCUCUCCAUCUCAACCCCUGCUGCCCUCGUCUUGAGCACCACCUGUGGUCAGCUGAAGGGUGGCCCGUCCACAGGUGUGCCCACAUCCUAAUCCCUGGGACCUGUUACUAUUACUGCGACCUUGUUCGGAUAAAGGAUCUCUGCAAGUGCAAUUGAGUUGAAGCUUUGGGGAUGAGGACAUCAUUGUGGACUGUCCAGGAGGAGACACAAACAGAAAAGGGGAACGAUGCAGCCACAAACCAAGGAACGCCUGAAUCCGCCAGGAGUGGGAAGAGGCAAGGAUCCACUGGAGCCUUUGGAAGGAUCAAAGCCCUGCCAACACCUUAGUUUUGAAUUCUGGCCUCCAGAACUCUUACAGAAGAAAUUCUUACUGUUUGAGACCACCCAGUUCCUGGUGGUUCAUCACAGCAACCACAGGAAACUACUUUGCCCUCAUUUCUCACCUGGACUACUUCACCAGACUCCCUGCUGAUCUCCCAACUGUUUUGUUUUUUGUUUUAUUUUGUUAAUCUCCCAGAUUUUAGUCCUUUUCAUACUUCCCACAACCCAUACCACCACAUAAAUGAUUUUUUUUUUUGAGACACAGUCUCACUCUGCAGCCCGGGCUAAUCC